AGCGUGGCUCAGUUGGUCAGAGCGAGGGACUGUCAAUCCCUAGGUCGUCGGUUCGAUUCCGUCUA
RNAcentral lists this transfer RNA (65 nucleotides) under Geminigera cryophila. It matches the Rfam family "tRNA", at positions 8 to 63 of the family's 71-position model. From Rfam's summary of the family: Transfer RNA (tRNA) molecules are approximately 80 nucleotides in length. Their secondary structure includes four short double-helical elements and three loops (D, anti-codon, and T loops). Lineage: Eukaryota; Cryptophyceae; Pyrenomonadales; Geminigeraceae. The record is from RNAcentral.